CCUACGGGUGGCUGCAGUGAGGAAUAUUGGUCAAUGGACGCAAGUCUGAACCAGCCAUGCCGCGUGCAGGAAGACUGCUCUAUGAGUUGUAAACUGCUUUUAUACGGGAGUAAACGCAGGUACGUGUAUCUGUUUGUAAGUACUGUACGAAUAAGGAUCGGCUAACUCCGUGCCAGCAGCCGCGGUAAUACGGAGGAUACGAGCGUUAUCCGGAUUUAUUGGGGUUAAAGGGUGCGUAGGUGGGCUGAUAAGUUAGUUGUGAAAGUCCGAGGCUCAACUGUGGAAUUGCAUCUGAAACUGUUCGGCUAGAGGAUAGUAGCGGUAGGCGGAAUGUGUGGUGUAGCGGUGAAAUGCUUAGAGAUCAUAAAGAACACCGAUUGCGAAGGCAGCUCACUGAGCUACUACUGACGCUGAGGCACGAAAGCGUGGGGAGCAAACAGGAUUAGAUACCCGUGUAGUC
RNAcentral lists this ribosomal RNA (460 nucleotides) under uncultured bacterium. RNAcentral describes it as "partial 16S ribosomal RNA". It matches the Rfam family "Bacterial small subunit ribosomal RNA", at positions 338 to 795 of the family's 1533-position model. The record is from RNAcentral.